This 457-nucleotide ribosomal RNA is filed under the name uncultured bacterium. Its description in RNAcentral is "partial 16S ribosomal RNA". It matches the Rfam family "Bacterial small subunit ribosomal RNA", at positions 28 to 523 of the family's 1533-position model. The record is from RNAcentral.
GAUGAACGCUGGCGGCGUGCCUAAUACAUGCAAGUCGUACGGAAAGGCCCUUCGGGGUACUCGAGUGGCGGACGGCUGAGUAACGCGUGGGAACGUGCCCCAAAGGGAGGGAUAACGCACCGAAAGGGGUGCUAAUACCGCAUAUGGUCUUCGGAUUGAAGCUUCGGCGCUCUGGGAGCGGCCCGCGUACGAUUAGAUAGUUGGUGAGGUAAUGGCUCACCAAGUCGACGAUCGUUAGCUGGUCUGAGAGGAUGAUCAGCCAGACUGGGACUGAGACACGGCCCAGACUCCUACGGGAGGCAGCAGUAAGGAAUCUUCCACAAUGGGGGCAACCCUGAUGGAGCAACGCCGCGUGCAGGACGAAGGUUUUCGGAUCGUAAACUGCUUUUAUAAGUGAAGAAUAUGACGGUAACUUAUGAAUAAGGAUCGGCUAACUACGUGCCAGCAGCCGCAGUAA